AAUAAGGCGGGUUACAGAAUGCAAACACACCUGCUGCCAAAGGGUCAAGUCCAAAGGGCUCACUUUCACUGAACUACUUUUUUAAAAACCACAGUCCAAAAUAGAGUACAUCUGAGAGCUGAGCCCAGGGGAGCCCAGGAGGCAGGUAAGGCAGGAAUGCUGCAGGCACACCUGAAACCCACAGCCUGGCACCCAGCAGCUGAGGGUGGGAGGACUCAGGGCAGGAGGGCAGGUUCUAAGGGCCGGCCUCUGUGAUUCCAACAUGGCUCUACCGUGGUGAAGGUCUACAGAUCUGAGUAAGGUCUACCACAGCCUCAAAGAGAAAUAAGCAAAGGCCCGCAGAACGGCACUUACUGGGUGAAGCUCCCCAAUGAUGUACGUUUUGGACAAUUCUCGAGCAUCGGUAGAGUGCCCGAUAUCCUCGAAGUUUUCAGUAGCAUCCCCUCCGGCUUGUUCUCGGAGGACCUCUUCCCCACCAGGAUGC
Molecule: non-coding RNA, 484 nt
Organism: Manis javanica (Malayan pangolin)
Lineage: Eukaryota; Metazoa; Chordata; Mammalia; Pholidota; Manidae
Source: RefSeq, a predicted model, not a curated record